UACAGAGGUCUCAAGCGUUGUUCGGAUUCAUUGGGCGUAAAGGGUGCGUAGGCGGCGCGGUAAGUCGGGUGUGAAAUCUCGGAGCUUAACUCCGAAACUGCAUUCGAUACUGCCGUGCUUGAGGACUGGAGAGGAGACUGGAAUUCCCGGUGUAGCGGUGAAAUGUGUAGAGAUCGGGAGGAACACCGGUGGCGAAGGCGGGUCUCUGGGCAAUUCCUGACGCUGAGGCGCGAAAGCGUGGGGAGCAAACGGG
RNAcentral lists this ribosomal RNA (253 nucleotides) under uncultured bacterium. RNAcentral's name for it is "partial 16S ribosomal RNA". It matches the Rfam family "Bacterial small subunit ribosomal RNA", at positions 524 to 776 of the family's 1533-position model. The record is from RNAcentral.